RNAcentral lists this ribosomal RNA (433 nucleotides) under uncultured bacterium. Its description in RNAcentral is "partial 16S ribosomal RNA". It matches the Rfam family "Bacterial small subunit ribosomal RNA", at positions 29 to 507 of the family's 1533-position model. The record is from RNAcentral.
AACGAACGCUGGCGGCAUGCCUAACACAUGCAAGUCGAACGAGACCUUCGGGUCUAGUGGCGCACGGGUGCGUAACGCGUGGGAACCUGCCCUUAGGUUCGGAAUAACUCCCCGAAAGGGGUGCUAAUACCGGAUAAUGUCUUCGGACCAAAGAUUUAUCGCCUUUGGAUGGGCCCGAGUUGGAUUAGCUCGUUGGUAGGGUAAAAGACUAACAAGGCGACGAUCCAUAGGUGGGCGCUGAGGAUGAUCAGCCACACUGGGAGUGAGACACGGCCCAGACUCCUCCGGGAGGCAGCAGUGCGGAAUAUUGGACCGUGGCCUAAAUCCUGAUCCUGCUCUGCCGCGUGAGUGAUGAAGGCCUUAGGGUUGUAAAGCUCUUUUACCCGUGAUGAUAAUGACAGUACCGGGAGAAUAAGCUCCGGCUAACUCCGUG